AACGCGAAGAACCUUACCUGGACUCGAAAUGCAGUCGACUGCCUCAGAGAUGAGGUUUUCCCGCAAGGGACGGCUGUAUAGGUGCUGCAUGGCUGUCGUCAGCUCGUGUCGUGAGAUGUUGGGUUAAGUCCCGCAACGAGCGCAACCCUUAUCCCUAGUUGCCACCGGGUCAAGCCGGGCACUCUAGUGAAACUGCCUCGGAUAACGAGGAGGAAGGUGGGGAUGACGUCAAGUCCUCAUGGCCUUUAUGUCCAGGGCUACACACGUGCUACAAUGGUCGGUACAAACCGUCGCAAACCCGUGAGGGGGAGCUAAUCGGAAAAAGCCGGCCUCAGUUCGGAUUGGAGUCUGCAACUCGACUCCAUGAAGUUGGAAUCGCUAGUAAUCGCGGAUCAGCUACGCCGCGGUGAAUGCGUUCCCGGGCCUUGUACACACCGACAUA
This 442-nucleotide ribosomal RNA is filed under the name uncultured bacterium. RNAcentral's name for it is "bacterial SSU rRNA". It matches the Rfam family "Bacterial small subunit ribosomal RNA", at positions 958 to 1397 of the family's 1533-position model. The record is from RNAcentral.